RNAcentral lists this transfer RNA (71 nucleotides) under Marmota monax (woodchuck). RNAcentral's name for it is "tRNA.Thr". Lineage: Eukaryota; Metazoa; Chordata; Mammalia; Rodentia; Sciuridae. The record is from RNAcentral.
GUGGCUGUGGCUCAGUGGCAGAGCACUUGCCUAGUUUGUAUGAGGCACUGGAUUCGAUUCUUAGCACCACA